CUUUUACGUCGGGACUCAAGGGUUUGUUAGGUUGUGCUAGGAGCGAUGGCUCUCGGUGUAACGGAGCUCUUAAGUGAAGAUGCUGAGAGGAAAAGGAAGAGUGCAAAACAUAGGGGAGAAUGUUUGCUGGAAAACGACAUGGUUAAAACCUAACGAUCUUAGCAGCAUCCUGCAGGUUGUUGAUUGCUAAUGAAGUUAUGGAUAUCUCUGAUGGCAGCGUCAUUCUGAAUGAGGGGUCGCUGUCUGCCUAUUGAAAGAGGCCAGAUUGCUGUGAAGUUCCUGAGAUAUUUCUGGCUAAUGCCACAAGAUUUACCGGUAUGUCGUGUGAAAAACUAAGGAAAAGCUCUUCAUUUUAUGGAUAUGGAAAGAAAAAUCAAGAUGGAUUAUAUUUUUUUUAAUUAUCCAGUCUUUAAUUAGUUAAGUAAAACUAGUUAAACUUUUUAAAAUCAAUUUUGAAUGAAUACCCUUUGGUUACAAGCUGUUUGAAUGUAAAAUGCGUCAUGGUGAUUAUAGCCAAAUGAAGGUUUUUACUAUUAUAGAAAGUUACUAAGAUGAGAGCAGAGUGGACAGAACAUAUUCCUGGGAUUGGGCUGGAAAGAAAGCCCACCAUCAAUAAUCAUUACUGGCUGAAUUAUGGAAUAUUUAGUCUUAGUGUAACAGUAUUGUGUAUUUAUUUAUGGUAUUAAGGUGUUUAUUCUGAAAACGAAGAAAGCACAAUAUAGCAAGUCAUGAGGAAGGUCACUGAUGAAAUGUAGUUUAAAAUUGUACAGACAUCCUGAAUGAAUAUAAGUGUUAAGUAAUUAAUACCAUCUGAUGUAACCAAGGUGGUUGGGCCCCAUGCAUAAUCAUUUUCCCUAAAUAGCUACAUGAAUAAAUUUUUCCCAAUCCAAGUAAGAAUGCCAAUAUUUAUAGUCAUCAUUAAUAAACCUAAAAUUUCCUUAGUGAAAAUUUGGAUCCCACGCAUGCAGCUCAGGGAGAGGUUUAUGAAACUGAUAAGGCUGUAGUUGAAUACUUUCCCAAGUAUCAAAACAGUAUACAAAAUAGCAUCUCUGGGAAUGUUUCCUUGGCAGCCAUAAACUACCCAUGUGUUGCAUUUAUUACAUGUAUUUAACAUUGCAGUCUACGCUCUUAUGACUGAUCUCCCUUACCCUGCUUUAUUUGGAAUAUAUAUUCUAGAAGACCUGUUUCAAACACAGACAUCCUAAGUACAUAGAAACCUUAAAUAUCUGGCUCUUGGUUAGAACAAAGAAUGGAUGGUAAUUUUACCCAAAAAAUAUAGUGAUCAAAGAUAAAUUGGUACCCACACAAAACUUUAAGGGGAAAAAAAUACAUUUCUCUAAAACCUCAGUUAAUGUACAUUACUGCACCGUGCGUUGUGUACAACAGUUGUACACAAUGCCAAGAGAAAAGGCAAAGUACAGGAAACAAGAACAGUGCAGAAUAAGGAUGUUAAAGUGAUACAUUUGGGCAUAUGAAACACUAACCAAAGAUAUGCUUCAGAAUUGGAUCCCCAAAGGUACAAUUCCAAUGGAACUUGAAAGCUCAACAUAGAAGUUUCCAUUAAGAUUACUAAUUGAUUCAAACCUAUUACUAAACAAGGUGUACUAAUGUCAUGAUGGUGUCUUUCACACAGCACAGAUAUACUUAAUUGGUAAUAUAUAAAAAAUAAGGCAACUAAAUAAGACCAGGGACCUUAAGCUGUUACCUGUGUAAGGGAUUUAAACUUCCAGAACCAAUCUGCAACUUAAUGGACUUAGUGGAGAUCCUAAAAUGUACGGAUCUGCUGUUUGGACUGGUUUUGUGAUAAACAUAUAGAACACAGUCUACAUUUGUGUGAUGUUACUGACUAGCCAGUAAGAAUUUUCUCUCUGCUUUACACCAUUCUUUCUGAUUGCAUUAAACAGUAGGCUCAAUCCUACCAUUUGGUGUUUUGUUUUCCUUCCCAUUUGAUAUUUUCUAAAAUAAGUUCUAUUGUCAGAAAUUACAGCAUCCACUGCACUUGGAAUCCCAAUCAAGUGCCCUCUGAACUGAUUAUACACUUCAUAAUCCUUGCUGUUUGCCCAGCCUGUGUGAAAGUUUUUGACCACUUUUCAAGGGUUUUAGAACCUCUAAAUCCCAGCCUACCAGGAUAGUCUGCUUGUCUUGCCAUUUUCUCCUUCCCAUCUUUCCUUCCAAAAGCUUGAUUCCAGAUCAAUGAUUUGCACUUGUCACUGAAUAAUUACUGAAUAUAGCCACUGCCUCUGGCCUUGUUCCACCUCACCAAUUCUACAUUUUGGGGUAUGUACAGAGAUGAGGUCAAAAUACAAGUGUUCUAUGAAGUUCUGAAAUUUUUGUGGACCAUCUUGGGGUCAGGGGAGAAGGUAUCUUUCCAAUACUUGGUUUCAUUGUUGCAAAUCCUGUCCUCUUGGAAUUACCACUAGUCCACUCUGAGCUCCUGGCAUGCCAUGCAGCUGAGUUGUAACAGGAAGCAGAUUUAAUCUGACAGAAUCCCACAUCAAGUAAAGUAUAAUCCAGUGUAUUUGGAAAACUUAAUAGUUACGCUUACUCAAUUGAUUCUAGUUCUCUUUCAAAAGAGUAUUAAGGUGAGUUCCUGUGUGGAUCAGCGUAAAUGAAUCUGACUGGUGUCCAUGAGGACUCAGGUUCUAUCCCUGGCCUCACUCUGCGUUAAGAAUCCGGCAUUGCCAGGAGCUGUGGUAUAGGUCUCGGACACAGCUUGGAUCUGGUGUUGCUGUGGCUGUUGUGUAGGCUGGCAGCUACAGCUCCUAGCCUGGAAACUUACAUAUGUGGUGGGUGCAGCCCUAAAAAAAAAAAAUGUGUUAAUGAGAAGAGCAUUUCAGGAUACUCAAAAUUCAUCAUUUGAGGAAAAUAAUAGAAAUACAGUGCAUUACUGAGGUCAGGGAACUUAAUGUGUCCUUCCCUGUAGUGCUGAAUAUAAAGUACAAUAAAUGGUCUUUUUUGUG
RNAcentral lists this long non-coding RNA (2960 nucleotides) under Sus scrofa (pig). Its description in RNAcentral is "lncRNA (ENSSSCG00030047896.1)". The record is from RNAcentral. Lineage: Eukaryota; Metazoa; Chordata; Mammalia; Artiodactyla; Suidae.